Molecule: long non-coding RNA, 1891 nt
Filed under: Homo sapiens (human)
Lineage: Eukaryota; Metazoa; Chordata; Mammalia; Primates; Hominidae
Description: HSALNT0357670
Source: RNAcentral
GUUUCUAUCCCAGUGCCACAAGCCACUAUGUUACCCUGAACACAUUUUGUGACCUCAGGGUGAUUUCACUAGAAUGAAAGUAUUGCAGUAAUGCCUUCCUGCCAUGUGGUCAUAGAUUAAAAGCUGCUAUACAGUUUGGAACUGGAAACCGAGCUCCCAAUGUAAAGGAGAUAAGCCAUCGUGCUUACAAUGUGGUGUGCAGAGCUCACUGAUGGGCAGUUUUUCUUAACAAUGCAUCAGGACUUUCGUUAUUUGGAAAGGAAGCUUAAAUGCUGGAGUGCGAUGGCAUGAUCUCGGCUCACUGCAACCUCUGCCUCCCAGGUUCAAGCGUUUCUCCUGCCUCACCCUCCCAAGUAGCUGGGAUUGCAGGCAUGCACCACUGUGCCCAGGAAGCUGAGAGUGCUGAGGGCACAUCUGAAACCACUGGAGGUUGGCGACAUGGAGGUCAGCAGAACUGAAGAAUUUGGAAGUGCUCAAAUUUUUAAAUAACCAGAUCGAGGAGCUGCCAACACAGAUCAGCAGGCUUCAAAAACUCAAACACCUGAACCUUGGCCACCCUGUGUGCACUCUAUCUAAGUGACAACGGUUUUGAAAUCCUGCCACCAGAUAUUGGGAAGCUCACAAAGUUGCAGAUACUCAGCAAUAGGGAUAAAGACCUGAUCUCACUGCUUAAGGAAAUUGGGGAGCUUACCCAGCUUAAAGAGCUCCACAUUCAGAGGAACCGCCUCACUGUUCUACGCCCAGAACUAGGCAAUGAUGGGACCUCUUCUCCUGCAUUUGUUACCCAGAUAAUUUUGCCUUUGGAGAAGAGAAGAAAAUCACAUUGGUCUGCUCGGAAUGCAACAAAACAAAGUGUUAUUGACACCAAAACCUUAUUUGCACCAAUCCAAACAGCCUAUGGGACAUAUGUCUGCAAUGCUGCACACACCUGGGGCUAGCCAGCUUAGUGCCCUACGAUAUGUGCCAAUAAUCGAUAGCAUUUUUUACUACAGUAAUUAUGAGAAGCAUAGUAUUUUCUAGCAUGCUUGUGAAGAGUGGAAACAAAUAUUAAUCCCCUUCAGAGAGUAAAGGACAUUAUGAAUUGAGAAUUUCCUCCCAAUUUAUUCUCCAGAAUGAACAGAAUUAACAGUGAGUGGAUGUACGUCCAAAAUUUCUUCUGUUAUAUCUCUUAAUCCUUUUCCUGCGGACAUCGAGAAACUAAAGAAAAAUAACUUUCUUUACUGAGGCAGGCAAGAAGGAAAUCCAGUAUUCUUUGUUUGAUCAAUUAAGUCUCUGUAAGUGUCUCAUUUAUCUUCUCUUUUGUUAUUGUCACUCUGUCAACUGGUUCCCAAUUAUUUUAUCCAGAGGUUUAAAACUUUUUUAAAUGUAAACAGUAGAGAAUAGAGGUUAAGUGCUGCACUCUUCAUCACUAGGCUUGGGUUCAAACCUCACUCUCCCACUCCCUUGUUCUGUGACCUUCAGAUACUGAUAUGGUUUGAAAGGAAAGGAAAGGAAAAAACAGAUCAAAAUGUUUCAAUAAUCAUGAACGUAUAUGUAUCUGAUAAUGUACCCUUUAUUUAUGCUCAAUGAGAUUUAACAUGUUCAUCUCAGAAAGGGAUAGAUCAAGCUGCAAAAAGUUUGCAUACAUAGAAGAUCUAAAUAGCAUGACUAACAAGUUUAAAAUAUUAAUGUAGAAUCAUAAAAAUAUAAUUUUUUCAAGCACACAUAUAAUAUUUGUAAAAAUUGACCAGGUACAAAUCACAUAGUAAUUCUCAAUAAAUUUUAGAAAAAGGAAUAGCAUUGUAUAAACUGUGUUUAUUUAUCACAAUGAGGUAGAAGUAGAAAUUAUUAACAAUUAUUAACAAAAGUAGAAAUUAUCAAAAAUGUUAGCUAAUAAAAAAUUAAAAGUCCA